CCUACGGGAGGCAGCAGUGAGGAAUAUUGGUCAAUGGGCGCGAGCCUGAACCAGCCAAGUAGCGUGAAGGAUGACUGCCCUACGGGUUGUAAACUUCUUUUAUAAAGGAAUAAAGUUAGGCACGUGUGCCUUUUUGCAUGUACUUUAUGAAUAAGGAUCGGCUAACUCCGUGCCAGCAGCCGCGGUAAUACGGAGGAUGCGAGCGUUAUCCGGAUUUAUUGGGUUUAAAGGGUGCGUAGUUGGGUUUUUAAGUCAGUUGUGAAAGUUUGUGGCUCAACCGUAAAAUUGCAGUUGAUACUGGCAGCCUUGAGUGCAGUUGAGGUAGGCGGAAUUCGUGGUGUAGCGGUGAAAUGCAUAGAUAUCACGAAGAACUCCGAUUGCGAAGGCAGCCUACUAAGCUACAACUGACAUUGAUGCACGAAAGUGUGGGUAUCAAACAGGAUUAGAUACCCGUGUAGUC
Molecule: ribosomal RNA, 460 nt
Filed under: uncultured bacterium
Lineage: Bacteria
Description: partial 16S ribosomal RNA
Rfam family: Bacterial small subunit ribosomal RNA
Source: RNAcentral